GGAGGGGUGCCUGAGCGGUUGAAAGGGAUGGUUCCGAAAACCAUUAAGGUCGAAAGAUCUUCGCGAGUUCGAAUCUCGCCCCCUCCG
RNAcentral lists this transfer RNA (87 nucleotides) under Candidatus Nealsonbacteria bacterium CG02_land_8_20_14_3_00_40_11. RNAcentral's name for it is "tRNA-Ser". It matches the Rfam family "tRNA". From Rfam's summary of the family: Transfer RNA (tRNA) molecules are approximately 80 nucleotides in length. Lineage: Bacteria; Candidatus Nealsoniibacteriota. The record is from RNAcentral.